RNAcentral lists this ribosomal RNA (484 nucleotides) under uncultured bacterium. Its description in RNAcentral is "partial 16S ribosomal RNA". It matches the Rfam family "Bacterial small subunit ribosomal RNA", at positions 30 to 507 of the family's 1533-position model. The record is from RNAcentral.
AUUGAACGCUGGCGGCAGGCCUAACACAUGCAAGUCGAGCGGAUGAAGGGAGCUUGCUCCUGGAUUCAGCGGCGGACGGGUGAGUAAUGCCUAGGAAUCUGCCUGGUAGUGGGGGAUAACGUCCGGAAACGGGCGCUAAUACCGCAUACGUCCUGAGGGAGAAAGUGGGGGAUCUUCGGACCUCACGCUAUCAGAUGAGCCUAGGUCGGAUUAGCUAGUUGGUGGGGUAAAGGCCUACCAAGGCGACGAUCCGUAUCUGGUCUGAGAGGAUGAUCAGUCACACUGGAACUGAGACACGGUCCAGACUCCUACGGGAGGCAGCAGUGGGGAAUAUUGGACAAUGGGCGAAAGCCUGAUCCAGCCAUGCCGAGUGUGUGAAGAAGGUCUUCGGAUUGUAAAGCACUUUAAGUUGGGAGGAAGGGCAGUAAGUUAAUACCUUGCUGUUUUGACGUUACCAACAGAAUAAGCACCGGCUAACUUCGUG